Mercenaria mercenaria is the source of this 1924-nucleotide long non-coding RNA. RefSeq lists it as uncharacterized. The record is from RefSeq and is a predicted model, not a curated record. Lineage: Eukaryota; Metazoa; Mollusca; Bivalvia; Venerida; Veneridae. The transcript has 4 exons.
AUCCGAUAAUCGGUUUCAUGCCCUCGAGCAGGACACAUGUUAAUUAAGCCAGCUCCGAUCGACACUCAUAUUGAACGCGCCCUGCGAUCUUUUGAUGACCCAGAUUAAUUUACAGUCAGCUAUUUUGAUGACCUUGAUUAUGAAUUAACAAAAUUAUGCAAUCAAUAACAGUUUUAUGAUAAUUUUAUAUUAGCAACAAUAGCCGAAAAUCUCGUUGUUUUUAGCACGUUGGCGGUGAAGCUACAUGUAGCCUUGAUUGGAAGAAAUGGCUGAUAACGGUCAAUUAAACGAUAAUUAUUUUAAAAGGUUGUAAUCUUUCAAAAUGUAGAUCGAUUGUCACACAUAUUCUAAAUUAAACUUUUGACUAUUGAAUGCCUUUGCCGACCGAUCCAUGAAAAUUGACCCAACCCGAAAUAUUUUAUAUCGAUUUUAUCUACAAGAUUUAUUUUAUUCCUUUGAGGAUUCCAUUUUAUUAAUGAUUAGAUAAACGUUUAAGCUUUAAAGUGAUACCAAAUAAGCUGGAUUCUAAAUCACGAUGACCAGGUUAAUUCUUCGUAUGUAGCAAGUCUCCUAAUUCAGUUCACCUCGGGAACGCAACCAAUUCACGUGCCGAACUAUAGACGUGAAUUACCCUAUUUACCUCCCUUAGAAAGCUAGACGACAUUUGCAGCAAAUUAUUCCUAAGCGAGGGAACAAUGUUUAUCUCCGGAAACUGCAUGUAAUUUUAUGAUAUUUAUGCAUGAAACAGACGAAUACUAAUGUCACGGUGUAUGUCCCGGACAAAGGGUAAAAAUCCCGGAAAUUUUAACUCAGAAUCCCGGAAAGGUCCUGAAAAAUUAUGGCAUAUUGGUACUUGAAAGUCAAUGGUUGAUCAUGAUGACCAUCUUUAAUUUAAUGGGGAAAGAUUAACCAAUAUUUGCAGCUGGAGAGGCUAUCACCACAGUUCAAUGAUUUAGUUAAGACAAUGAAAUAGAAGAACUUCAUGCUAACACUUGCAUCAGUGGAAGUACUUCUUAUUGGAUAGAGAACUUUACAAGGUCAGCCACCAGCUUUUGAAGUUGCUUUCUUGGCACAUCAUGCUGUCCAGUGGAGUUCAUACCAUAUGCCAGGCCUUUAUACAUGGUCAAAGAAGAUGAAUUUGUUAUUCAAUUUGUGAAAUUUGAUUUAAGGAGGACUUUCAUAUAUGAUGAUUAUAUUCAGCAGAUUAUCUUCAAGUGUGCACUUCAUAGAAUCACAGUUUCUAGGAGGUUUUCAGUUUAAAGUUAGAUUAAUUGAAAAAUAAGUAAACCUAUCAUACUCACCAUGGCAUCGGCAUUGGCAUUACACCAGUUUUAAGUUUUUCUUACCAGUCCAUAUUUUAAAAGGACCUUUUGAAAGUAUUGAAACUUACAACAGUAAUUUAUCAUCAUUAUACCAUGUUUUAGGCAAAAGUACAUAACUCCAUCAAGGAUUUGACUGAACUAUGGCCCUUUGAAACUUUUGUCACUUGUUUAUUAUAAUAGUCUCUAUAGGCAAGAGUUAAUAACACUGUAGAGUAAUUUGGUUGAAUUAUGUCCCUUUUGGACUUUGAAAUUGGUUCAGUUUUUGUACAAGUCCACAUUUUGACAUAUAGCUUUGAAUCUUUCAACACUAAGUCUUACCAUUACAAUGAUAUAACUUAAAAUAGUUGUUCAACAUCAUCACCCACAUCAUAUGACACAAGAUGCGUGACUCUUGCACCAAAAUUUAAUAAAUUAUGCCCUUUUUUGCUUAAAAUGUACUUGUAUAGUGUUUUGAUACACUUUAUCUUUAUCUCUCAUAUUACAUAAUAUUUUAAAACAGACUUAGUUAUUAUGCAAUAUCUUCAUCAGCCAUUGGAGCCAUUAGUUGGUGUUUAGAUCCUAUAAUUGUAAAACAUAAAAUAAAUGUUGAAAGUUUCAUAAAA